CUCGGCCUUUUGGCUAAGAUCAAGUGUAGUAUCUGUUCUUAUCAGUUUAAUAUCUGAUAUGUGGCCCAUCGGGUCACACGAUAUUAAAUUAAUUUCUUGAGGGGGGAGGGUUCGCCACAGUAGCUUGCUACUGGGACCUUCAAGCGUCGCCCAUGCGUUGCACUAUUGCACUGGCCUGGCGCACCCCACCCAAACCUAGUCUCAAACUUUUCUUGGCUCUGUCGGGUUAUUGAUGAGGAUGGAUGUACGUUUUCUCGGCCUCUUAAGCACACUGUCAUAAAAGACAUUUAAAAUUCGACCAAAAUUCAACACCAGUCAUAUUGUAGCCAGGGAAGCAACCUGAGCCUACUGCCUAGUCCUACUUGGAAUGCAAACCGACUAAAUGAGUUAUUUUUUUUCAAAAUUUGGAGAAUACUUUCGGAAAUUCUUUCCACAACUACAAGGCAAGAGCAAAUCCCAAUUCUUCGGUUUGAAAAAAAAACGAUGGAGCUCAGGUGGUAGCGGCACGGUUCUGUCCAAGGACCCCAAGAAGAAGGACGAGAAAAAGAAAAAGAUCGGGUUCAGCUAUUUUGUGCUUGAUAGGGUUUCUGUGCAAUAAUUUUGGAUAGAAAGCGUAAUAGAAACUUUAGCCAUGCGCGAGGCUUGGUUCUGUUUGAAA
Alnus glutinosa is the source of this 658-nucleotide long non-coding RNA. RefSeq lists it as uncharacterized. Lineage: Eukaryota; Viridiplantae; Streptophyta; Magnoliopsida; Fagales; Betulaceae. The record is from RefSeq and is a predicted model, not a curated record. The transcript has 2 exons.